Molecule: unclassified non-coding RNA, 219 nt
Filed under: plant metagenome
Description: partial contains small subunit ribosomal RNA, internal transcribed spacer 1, and 5.8S ribosomal RNA
Source: RNAcentral
UUUCCGUAGGUGAACCUGCGGAAGGAUCAUUACAGAGUUCAUGCCCUCACGGGUAGAUCUCCCACCCUUGAAUAUUUAUACCUUAGUUGCUUUGGCAGGCCGUGGAAACACCAUGGGCUCCGGCUUAUGCGUGCCUGCCAGAGGAAACAAACUCUGUUUUUAGUGAUGUCUGGGUACUAUAUAAUAGUUAAAACUUUCAACAACGGAUCUCUUGGUUCU